CACUGCGCACGCCCUGCACCUCCUUGCUCCGCCUUCCACGUCCCUCAUCCCCAUCAUGUUUGUCGUUACCACUUGGGGUUUUCCUGGUUUCACUUGAGUGAUUUCCCGAAGCGGAUUCUCCAUUUCGCUGGUGGACGUCGUUCCAGUUCUGAUGGAUCUUCUGGCUGGUUGUUAGGUCACCGCCAGCUCUUCAAGGACCGUGGAGGUGAGGUUUCGCCUUUCCUGACUAGAGCUCAACGAUUCCAUCCCCUCUAUUGGCUGAAUGCUUUGCUGCCUGACCCUGAGCAAGUUCUUAUUGUCUUCGUGCCCUGGUUUGUCAUCUGUAAAUGGGGAUCGUCGCUGGACCUACCGGAAAGGGAAGCUUGAGGCUUAUAUGAGGUCGUUCGUGGAAGGUGCUUGGCGUGGAGGCAGGUGUAUGAAAAAGCUCAGUGUAUGUUGAUUACGACUGUAUUCCAUGACGUCCA
Molecule: long non-coding RNA, 464 nt
Organism: Acinonyx jubatus (cheetah)
Lineage: Eukaryota; Metazoa; Chordata; Mammalia; Carnivora; Felidae
Exons: 3
Source: RefSeq, a predicted model, not a curated record